CAGCCGCCGCGGUAAUACGAGGGGAGCUAGCGUUGUUCGGAAUUACUGGGCGUAAAGCGCGCGUAGGCGGCUUUUUAAGUCAGAGGUGAAAGCCCGGGGCUCAACCCCGGAAUUGCCUUUGAAACUGGAAAGCUAGAAUCUUGGAGAGGUCAGUGGAAUUCCGAGUGUAGAGGUGAAAUUCGUAGAUAUUCGGAAGAACACCAGUGGCGAAGGCGACUGACUGGACAAGUAUUGACGCUGAGGUGCGAAAGCGUGGGGAGCAAACAGGAUUAGAUACCCGCGUAGUCCCUGUCUCUUAUAC
Molecule: ribosomal RNA, 301 nt
Filed under: uncultured bacterium
Lineage: Bacteria
Description: partial 16S ribosomal RNA
Rfam family: Bacterial small subunit ribosomal RNA
Source: RNAcentral